RNAcentral lists this ribosomal RNA (472 nucleotides) under uncultured Anaerolineaceae bacterium. RNAcentral describes it as "bacterial SSU rRNA". It matches the Rfam family "Bacterial small subunit ribosomal RNA", at positions 897 to 1382 of the family's 1533-position model. Lineage: Bacteria; Bacillati; Chloroflexota; Anaerolineae; Anaerolineales; Anaerolineaceae. The record is from RNAcentral.
AAACUCAAAGGAAUUGACGGGGACCCGCACAAGCAGCGGAGCGUGUGGUUUAAUUCGUUGCUACACGAAGAACCUUACCUGGGUUUGACAUAUAGGUUGUAGGGAACUGAAAAGGGACCGACCCUUCGGGGAGCCUAUACAGGUGUUGCAUGGCUGUCGUCAGCUCGUGUCGUGAGAUGUUCGGUUAAGUCCGCUAACGAGCGCAACCCUCGUCGUAUGUUAUAUGUGUCAUACGAGACUGCCGGUAAAAAGCCGGAGGAAGGUGAGGAUGAUGUCAAGUCAGCAUGACCUUUAUAUCCAGGGCUACACACACGCUACAAUGGUCUGUACAAUGGGUAGCCAAGCCGCGAGGCGGAGCCAAUCCUGAAAGCAGGCCUCAGUUCAGAUUGCAGUCUGCAACUCGACUGCAUGAAGCCGGAGUUGCUAGUAACCGCAGGUCAGCAAUACUGCGGUGAAUACGUUCCCGGGUCUU